Molecule: ribosomal RNA, 484 nt
Filed under: uncultured bacterium
Lineage: Bacteria
Description: partial 16S ribosomal RNA
Rfam family: Bacterial small subunit ribosomal RNA
Source: RNAcentral
AUUGAACGCUGGCGGCAGGCCUAACACAUGCAAGUCGAGCGGAUGAAGGGAGCUUGCUCCUGGAUUCAGCGGCGGACGGGUGAGUAAUGCCUAGGAAUCUGCCUGGUAGUGGGGGAUAACGUCCGGAAACGGGCGCUAAUACCGCAUACGUCCUGAGGGAGAAAGUGGGGGAUCUUCGGACCUCACGCUAUCAGAUGAGCCUAGGUCGGAUUAGCUAGUUGGUGGGGUAAAGGCCUACCAAGGCGACGAUCCGUAACUGGUCUGAGAGGAUGAUCAGUCACACUGGAACUGGGACACGGUCCAGACUCCUACGGGAGGCAGCAGUGGGGAAUAUUGGACAAUGGGCGAAAGCCUGAUCCAGCCAUGCCGCGUGUGGGAAGAAGGUCUUCGGAUUGUAAAGCACUUUAAGUUGGGAGGAAGGGCAGUAAGUUAAUACCUUGCUGUUUUGACGUUACCAACAGAAUAAGCACCGGCUAACUUCGUG